This 497-nucleotide ribosomal RNA is filed under the name uncultured bacterium. Its description in RNAcentral is "partial 16S ribosomal RNA". It matches the Rfam family "Bacterial small subunit ribosomal RNA", at positions 28 to 507 of the family's 1533-position model. The record is from RNAcentral.
GAUGAACGCUGGCGGCGUGCCUAAUACAUGCAAGUCGAGCGAACGGACGAGAAGCUUGCUUCUCUGAUGUUAGCGGCGGACGGGUGAGUAACACGUGGAUAACCUACCUAUAAGACUGGGAUAACUUCGGGAAACCGUAGCUAAUACCGGAUAAUAUUUUGAACCGCAUGGUUCAAAAGUGAAAGACGGUCUUGCUGUCACUUAUAGAUGGAUCCGCGCUGCAUUAGCUAGUUGGUAAGGUAACGGCUUACCAAGGCAACGAUGCAUAGCCGACCUGAGAGGGGGAUCGGCCACACUGGAACGGAGACACGGUCCAGACUCCUACGGGAGGCAGCAGUAGGGAAUCUUCCGCAAUGGGCGAAAGCCUGACGGAGCAACGCCGCGUGAGUGAUGAAGGUCUUCGGAUCGUAAAACUCUGUUAUUAGGGAAGAACAUAUGUGUAAGUAACUGUGCACAUCUUGACGGUACCUAAUCAGAAAGCCACGGCUAACUACGUG